UACAGAGGUCCCAAGCGUUGUUCGGAUUCACUGGGCGUAAAGGGUGCGUAGGCGGUUUGAUAAGUCUGAUGUGAAAUCCCGUAGCUUAACUGCGGAACUGCAUUGGAGACUAUUUGACUAGAGGAAUGGAGGGGAGACUGGAAUACUUGGUGUAGCAGUGAAAUGCGUAGAGAUCAAGGGGAACACCAGUGGCGAAGGCGAGGCUCUGGACAUUUCCUGACGCUGAGGCACGAAAGCCAGGGGAGCAAACGGG
Molecule: ribosomal RNA, 253 nt
Filed under: uncultured bacterium
Lineage: Bacteria
Description: partial 16S ribosomal RNA
Rfam family: Bacterial small subunit ribosomal RNA
Source: RNAcentral